Molecule: ribosomal RNA, 265 nt
Filed under: uncultured archaeon
Lineage: Archaea
Description: partial 16S ribosomal RNA
Rfam family: Archaeal small subunit ribosomal RNA
Source: RNAcentral
AGUCACUGACAUUAGAUACCCGCGUAGUCCCAGCCGUAAACUAUGCGCGUUAGGUGUACUGGUGACCACGAGUCACCGGGGUGCCGAAGGGAAAUCGUGAAACGCACCACCUGGGAAGUACGGUCGCAAGGCUGAAACUUAAAGGAAUUGGCGGGGGAGCACCGCAACGGGAGGAGCGUGCGGUUUAAUUGGAUUCAACACCGUAAAACUCACCAGGGAAGACUGUUACAUGAAAGCCGAGUUGAAGACUCUGCUAGAUUUUCAG